GAGUUUUUUGUCAAAGAUAAAGCGAGCAAUAUGAGGAAUUUUUGCCCGUUUGAAACUCCACGAGAAGUAUUUUUUUAAAAGAGUCUGACCGAAUAUUGCUUCAGAGCUUGCUUACAUAUCUUUGGCUAUAAAGGAAUCAGGUCAGUGUAGUUUUGGAAGUUUUGAUAGCUGGAACUACCGAGAAGCUGUAAUUUCACUGUUGUUGCUGUUGUUUCUGCUUACUGAGCUCCUUAUUAUACUAGAAGAAUAAAUAAGAAGCUACGCUAGCUAAGCCUAAAAACUACAAGUUACAAGAUUCAUAUCUAUAAAUCUCUUGAAGCUUGAUAUUGAGUCUUAGCUGAUUCUUGCUGUGGACUCCAAUCUGGAUCUUGAUGCUCGUUAGCUGCAACCGUUGAUUUAUUCUUCAGCCUUUGGAACAAGGCAGGGCAUCCGAAGCUUGUGACUUCAAUCAAGUUUUGAGCCGUCUGCAUCCUUCUCCACUUCAGCACUUUGAGUUCACUUCUUGUCUUUCUUUUUGUAUUUUUUUAUUAAGGAUUGUGACUAACUUCUGUUGAUCAUCUCGGACUGCUGACUCGCAUUCCUUACGUGAGCUUCUUUACUUCUAACUUGGAUUAAACUCUGAAAUGACUUCCCUUGUUCUUCAAGUAGGUGCCUGAUUGCUAAACUUGAACUGACUUCCUUUGAAACUUGAACUGUUUUCCCUUGAAACUCGAACUGUUUUCUCUUAAAACUUGAAUUGUCUUUCCUUGUUCUCCAGGUGGGCGCCUGAUUGCCGAACUUGAAUUAUCUUCUCUUGUUCAUUGACACUGUUUUCCCUUGCACCUUGAAUCAUUUUCCCUUGAAACUUGAAACGUCUUCCUCCAAACUGUUUUCCCUUGAAACUUGAGUUCUCUUCCUUCGAAAUUGCUUUCCCUUGAAACUUGAGUUGUCCUCCUUCUAAACUGCUUUCUUUUGAAACUUGAGUUGUCUUCCCUUGUUCUCCAAGUGGGCGCCUGAUUACAAAAAAUAUACAAAACAAAAGAAAUUUCCUGCCCCGGUUUGAUUUGGGGGCAUCUGUGUGUGCUAACAAAACUAUAAAUCACUUACGUUGUUGAUGGAGGAUGCAAUGAUGAGAGUAAAAUUAUGACUCGACUAGGAUGUGUGUCUCCUAAAAGUGAUUGAACUUUCGAAAAACUAUAAACUAAGCUUGACUAAAGUGAAAACUGACCCUAUUCUCCAGGCGGAAACCCUGAUUUCAAGAAAACUAAAAAUUGACACUUUUUUUCAAGUCCAGGCUUCCCUUUUUUCUUUCAAAUUCAAACUUCCACUUUUUUAGACUACUUCCUUUUUUUAAAAAAAUUAUUAUCCUAGGAGAAAAUUCGUCAGACCAAGUUUUCUAUCUUGGGAGAAAGAUAAUAAGAUUAAGACACUUAUCCUAGGAGAAAAUUCAUCAUACUAGAUUCUUGUUCUUUCUUUUCUUUUUUGUUUUUAUUUUUAGGUAUCUUAAAGAAAGAUUCAUACGACUAAGACGUUUAUCAUAGGAGAAAAUUCAUCAGAUUAGGUUUUCUAUCUUAGAAGAAAGAUUCAUCAGACUAAGAUUUUGAUCCUAGGAGAAAUUUCAUCCGAGUGGGUCCUCUUUUCUUGGGAAAAAAAUUCAUCAGACUAAGAUUUUGAUCCUAAGAGAAAAUUCAUCAAACUAGGUCCUCUUUUCUUAGGAGAAAAAUUCAUCAGACUAAGAUUUUGAUCCUAGGUGAAAGUUCAUCAGACUAGGUCUUCUAUCUUAGUAGAAAGAUUCAUCAGACUAAAAUAUUUAUCCCGGGAGAAAAUUCAUCAAACUAGGUCCUUUUUCUCUUUUUUUUUUGUUUUUAUUUUUGGGUAUCUUAGGAGAAAGAUUCAUCCGGCUAAGACGUUUAUCCUAGGAGAAAAUUCAUCGGACUAGGUCUUCUAUGUUAUGAGAAAAAUUCAAUAGGCUAAUGUUUUUAUCCUAGGAGAA
RNAcentral lists this long non-coding RNA (1972 nucleotides) under Nicotiana benthamiana. RNAcentral's name for it is "long non-coding RNA (NBEN_LNC036583)". The record is from RNAcentral. Lineage: Eukaryota; Viridiplantae; Streptophyta; Magnoliopsida; Solanales; Solanaceae.